CCCUUAGAUGUCCUGGGCCGCACGCGCGCUACACUGACAUGUUCAACAAGUUUCUCCUAGUUCGACAGGACUGGGAAAUCUUUGAACGCAUGUCGUGAUAGGGAUAGAUCAUUGCAAUUAUUGAUCUUGAACGAGGAAUUCCUAGUAAACGCGAGUCAUCAGCUCGCAUUGAUUACGUCCCUGCCCUUUGUACACACCGCCCGUCGCACCUACCGAUUGAAUGUUUCGGUGAAGAUUCCGGAUAGGACUGAUUUGAUUUAUUUCAUUUCUGACCUAAAAGCUAUCUAAACCUCAGCAUUUAGAGGAAGGUGAAGUCGUAACA
RNAcentral lists this ribosomal RNA (322 nucleotides) under uncultured eukaryote. RNAcentral's name for it is "partial 18S ribosomal RNA". It matches the Rfam family "Eukaryotic small subunit ribosomal RNA", at positions 1470 to 1796 of the family's 1831-position model. The record is from RNAcentral.